This 253-nucleotide ribosomal RNA is filed under the name uncultured bacterium. Its description in RNAcentral is "partial 16S ribosomal RNA". It matches the Rfam family "Bacterial small subunit ribosomal RNA", at positions 524 to 776 of the family's 1533-position model. The record is from RNAcentral.
UACGUAGGGGGCAAGCGUUAUCCGGAUUUACUGGGUGUAAAGGGAGCGUAGGUGGCGAUGCAAGUCUGAUGUGAAAACCCGGGGCUCAACCCCGGGACUGCAUUGGAAACUGUGUUGCUAGAGUGCAGGAGAGGUAAGUGGAAUUCCUAGUGUAGCGGUGAAAUGCGUAGAUAUUAGGAGGAACACCAGUGGCGAAGGCGGCUUUCUGGACUGUAACAGACGCUGAGGCACGAAAGCGUGGGGAGCGAACAGG